This is a long non-coding RNA of Betta splendens (Siamese fighting fish), 547 nucleotides long. RefSeq lists it as uncharacterized. The record is from RefSeq and is a predicted model, not a curated record. NCBI's taxonomy places the organism in Eukaryota, Metazoa, Chordata, Actinopteri, Anabantiformes, Osphronemidae. The transcript has 2 exons.
ACAGAAAGAAGGUAGAGGCUAGAACAACUGGUGGAGGACCUGCACUGACGCAUGCAGAGGAGAAGGGCCUCACCCUGAACACUGGAAAGCAGGGGCUAAAGGAAUUCCUGGAGGGAGUUCAUCAGAACCAGUCACUCCCCAGGAUACAAGUGCAUGUGUAAAAUAGUGUGAAAGAACAGCAGGAGGAGGUCAGUCACAUUCUGCUGCACAGAUGCACACAGUUCAGUGAUGUUCAGUAAAUGUCCGGAAAAAUUGAGUUCAAUUCUGUAAGAGUAAUGAUGAACUAUGUCAUGUAACUCUAAAUCUUCUGUAUUUUAAGUUACCGGUUAUUGAGUUGUAUAAACUAAAUCUCAAGGAAAUGUUAUACUUGUACCACAAGAUUGAAAAGACAGAUCUAGAAAUUGAAAUUCCCAAACACAAGCUGGAGAUGAGUGUAUAGUUAAAGGUGAAUUGUAUGAAUUAUUGGAAGAAGAAUCAUAAAAUCUAACAAUUGCCUUUGUAUUUGUAGGAAAUGGAAAAAAAACAAAUAAAUUAUGAUUUACAUCUA